This 485-nucleotide ribosomal RNA is filed under the name uncultured bacterium. RNAcentral's name for it is "partial 16S ribosomal RNA". It matches the Rfam family "Bacterial small subunit ribosomal RNA", at positions 30 to 507 of the family's 1533-position model. The record is from RNAcentral.
AUUGAACGCUGGCGGCAUGCCUUACACAUGCAAGUCGAACGGCAGCACGGGUGCUUGCCCCUGGUGGCGAGUGGCGAACGGGUGAGUAAUACAUCGGAACAUGUCCUGUAGUGGGGGAUAGCCCGGCGAAAGCCGGAUUAAUACCGCAUACGAUCUACGGAUGAAAGCGGGGGACCUUCGGGCCUCGCGCUAUAGGGUUGGCCGAUGGCUGAUUAGCUAGUUGGUGGGGUAAAGGCCUACCAAGGCGACGAUCAGUAGCUGGUCUGAGAGGACGACCAGCCACACUGGGACUGAGACACGGCCCAGACUCCUACGGGAGGCAGCAGUGGGGAAUUUUGAACAAUGGGCGAAAGCCUGAUCCAGCAAUGCCGCGUGUGUGAAGAAGGCCUUCGGGUUGUAAAGCACUUUUGUCCGGAAAGAAAUCCUUGGCCCUAAUACGGUCGGGGAUGACGGUACCGGAAGAAUAAGCACCGGCUAACUACGUG